GGGAAACUGAGGGUAAACCUGAAUAUGGGAAUCGUUCUGGAAAGAAUUCUCCUUUAAAGGUAACGCCUAAGGAUGAGACAGCGGCCGAUUAGGUAGAUGGUGGGGUAAUGGCCCACCAUGCCAAUGAUCGGUAAGGGCCUUGGAAGAGGGAGCCCUGAGAAGGGAACUGAGAUACUUUCCCUAGCCCUACGGGGUGCAGCAGGCGCGAAAACUUUACAAUGCGCGAAGGCGUGAUAAGGGUACCCCAAGUGCUUAUACACAGCAUAGGCUUUUGCCAAGUGUAAAUAGCUUGGCGAAUAAGCGGUGGGUAAGACUGGUGCCAGCCGCCGCGGUAACACCAGCGCCGCAAGUGGGGACCGGUUUUAUUGGGCCUAAAGCGUCCGUAGCAGGUCAUGCAAAUCUCUUGUGAAAUUGUCCGGCUUAACCGGGCAGCGUGCGGGAGACACUACAUGACUAGGGACCGGGAGGAGUCAGAGGUAUUUCGGGAGGAGCGGUAAAAUGCUAUAAUCCUCGAGGGACCACCGAUGGCGAAGGCAUCUGGCCAGAACGGAUCCGACUGUGAGGGACGAAAGCUAGGGGAGCGAACCGGAUUAGAUACCCGGGUAGUCCUAGCCGUAAACGCUGCGAGUUAGGUGUUACGUAAACUUCGAGUUUGCGUAGUAUCGUAGAGAAGUCGAUAAACUCGCCGCCUGGGAAUCAUGGUCGCAAGGCUGAAACUUAA
This 721-nucleotide ribosomal RNA is filed under the name uncultured archaeon. RNAcentral describes it as "bacterial SSU rRNA". It matches the Rfam family "Archaeal small subunit ribosomal RNA", at positions 134 to 859 of the family's 1478-position model. The record is from RNAcentral.